UAUGCUUUCUCUAUCUCAAUUUCCUCCCCAAUUUCUCUCUAGAUUUAUAACAGUUUCGAAUAUUUAAGUAGAGGCAAACCGGCCAGCUGGCCAAUAUUUAAAUUCAUAAUUGGAUCGUUAUAGCCACGCGCCGAAGAAAGCCGGUAGAGAAUCGAAACACUUUUUGGCGGCAUCUCUUCCCUCACCACCACCAAUCCAAAAUUUUUGCAGCUAUAUAAUGUUCCUCCAGCCCUUUCCCUUUAUAAUUUUGUAUCGUCAUUGUAACCAACUCUCCCUCUCUGUUUCUCAUACCUCGCUAGCUAUCCAGAGUCGAAAUCGUUAGAUUUUAGUCUCCGAGCUCCAUUGCUCUACUUUUUCUCUGUCAGCGUUCCAAGUUCAGUUGUGAGCCAACAAUGAGAUCUACUGCGAACAAUGGUGGCUAUCGGGAUCGGAGAUCGAUGAAGCAUGUUCUGGACAACGUUCAUGGAUACAUCUACCUCGACCCGCUAUUCUUGCAGUUCAUUGACACUGAACAGUUUCAGAGGCUUCGUGAUCUCAAGCAACUUGGUCUGACACACAUGGUUUACCCUGGGGCUGCACAUUCUCGAUUUGAGCAUUCACUGGGAGUUUAUUGGCUGGCUGGUGAAGCUGUCAAUAAAAUUAAUUUUUACCAAGGCCAGGAGCUUGGAAUUGAGGAGUUUGACAGGAACACAGUAAAACUUGCUGGACUACUGCAUGAUAUCGGCCAUGGCCCUUUCAGCCACAUGUUUGAGCGCGAGUUUCUUCCUCGGGUUCUUGAUGGUUACGAAUGGUCUCAUGAGGAUAUGUCUCUGAAGAUGAUAGAAUACAUUGUCGACAAGCACUGUAUUGAUAUUGAUUCGGCAAUCCUCAAGACUGCGAAGGAAAUGAUCCUUGCCAGCUCUGAACAUGGGCCAGAAAAAAGCAUGACAGAAAAGCGUUUCUUGUAUGAUAUUGUUGCAAAUGGGCGAACUGAAAUAGAUGUUGACAAGUUUGAUUACAUUGUGCGUGACUCCCGAGCAUGCGGUAUUGGUUCUGGUUUUCAAUUUGAAAGGCUGAUGGAAACUAUGAGAGUGAUGGAUGAUGAGAUAUGUUAUCGCGCUAAUGAGUAUCUGACACUCCACAAGCUAUUUGCCACUCGUGCUGAUCUUCAUCGGACUGUGUACACACAUCCAAAAGUGAAGGCUAUUGAACUCAUGGUUGUUGAUGCUCUGUGCUAUGCAAAUGCUGAUCUUGGCAUUGCAGCUUCAAUUCAAAAACCAUCUGAAUUUUGGAAGUUGGAUGACUCAAUUUUGAAAUGGAUCCAAAACCUCUGAUUCUGAUAGCCCUAGCCUCAAGGAAGCUAAAAAUUUAAUCCAACGCAUCCGUAAAAGGGAUCUGUACCAGUAUUGCAAUCAGUUUUCUGUUCCAAAGGACAAGCUAGAGAAUUUCAAAGACAUCACACCCCAAGAUAUAAUUUGUUCACAGAAAUCUGGUGGCGUUACACUGAAGGAAGAAGAUGUUGCUGUGAGCACUGUCAAAAUUGAUUUGACUCAUGGAAGGAUGAACCCUCUUGAACGAAUCAAUUUUUUCAAGGAUUAUGAUAGCUCUGAGAAAUUUCGAAUCCCAGAUGAUCGCAUAAGUCACUUGCUUCCCAGAUUUUUCCAAGAUAGGAUAGUGAGGGUGUACGCAAAGAAGCCGGAACUGGUGGAAGCAGUUGCUGAGGCCUUUGAGAACUAUCAGGUGAAGACAUAUGGAUGUAAAGCCCAGGUACAUGCAACUCCUGAUAAAAAGAAGGCACGCAAACAACUGGAAUAUCAAUAUCAAACUGACCGUCAGUGACCACAGUGUAUAUCCAUAUAUCUGACUGUAAAGAAACUUAAACAUCCUACCGCAUAUUAUUUUGGAUAUCAGCAACUUUGUAAAUGUACGUAUGAAUAUCUGGAAGCCAUGAGAAACUUUGUAAAUGUACGUAUGAAUAUCUGGAAGCCAUGAGAAAAUGUAUAAAUCCAUAUAAUCGUGUA
RNA transcript from Prunus dulcis (almond), 2000 nucleotides. It is a transcript of the gene named deoxynucleoside triphosphate triphosphohydrolase SAMHD1 homolog, with no coding region annotated. The record is from RefSeq and is a predicted model, not a curated record. NCBI's taxonomy places the organism in Eukaryota, Viridiplantae, Streptophyta, Magnoliopsida, Rosales, Rosaceae. The transcript is spliced from 20 exons.